AUGGACUUACCGCUGGUGUACCAGUUGUCUCGCCAGAGGCAUCGCUGGGUAGCUAUGUAGGGAAGGGAUAAACGCUGAAAGCAUCUAAGUGUGAAGCCCACCUCAAGAUGAGAUUUCCCAUUUCUUUAAGAAAGUAAGAUCCCUGAGAGAUGAUCAGGUAGAUAGGUCAGAAGUGGAAGGCCAGUGAUGGUUGGAGCGGACUGAUACUAAUCGAUCGAGGACUUAACCAAAAA
RNAcentral lists this ribosomal RNA (233 nucleotides) under Listeria monocytogenes. RNAcentral describes it as "partial 23S ribosomal RNA". It matches the Rfam family "Bacterial large subunit ribosomal RNA", at positions 2697 to 2925 of the family's 2925-position model. The record is from RNAcentral. Lineage: Bacteria; Bacillati; Bacillota; Bacilli; Caryophanales; Listeriaceae.